This 496-nucleotide ribosomal RNA is filed under the name uncultured bacterium. RNAcentral describes it as "bacterial SSU rRNA". It matches the Rfam family "Bacterial small subunit ribosomal RNA", at positions 903 to 1397 of the family's 1533-position model. The record is from RNAcentral.
AAAGGAAUUGACGGGGGCCCGCACAAGCAGCGGAGCAUGUGGUUUAAUUCGAAGCAACGCGAAGAACCUUACCAGGGCUUGACAUCCCUCUGACAGGUACAGAGAUGUACUUUUCCUUUGGGACAGAGGAGACAGGUGGUGCAUGGUUGUCGACAGCUCGUGUCGUGAGAUGUUGGGUUAAGUCCCGCAACGAGCGCAACCCUUAUCAUUAGUUGCCAUCAGGUAGAGCUGGGCACUCUAAAGAGACUGCCGGGGAUAACUCGGAGGAAGGUGGGGAUGACGUCAAAUCAUCAUGCCCCUUAUGUCCUGGGCUACACACGUGCUACAAUGGUCAGAAACAAAGGGAAGCGACAGGGUAACCUGAAGCGGAUCCCACAAACCUGAUCUCAGUUCGGAUUGUGGGCUGCAACUCGCCCACAUGAAGUCGGAGUUGCUAGUAAUCGCGAAUCAGCAUGUCGCGGUGAAUGCGUUCCCGGGCCUUGUACACACCGCCCGU